GAUGAACGCUGGCGGCGUGCCUAAUACAUGCAAGCCGAGCGAACAGACGAGGAGCUUGCUCCUCUGACGUUAGCGGCGGACGGGUGAGUAACACGUGGAUAACCUACCUAUAAGACUGGGAUAACUUCGGGAAACCGGAGCUAAUACCGGAUAAUAUAUUGAACCGCAUGGUUCAAUAGUGAAAGACGGUUUUGCUGUCACUUAUAGAUGGAUCCGCGCCGCAUUAGCUAGUUGGUAAGGUAACGGCUUACCAAGGCAACGAUGCGUAGCCGACCUGAGAGGGUGAUCGGCCACACUGGAACUGAGACACGGUCCAGACUCCUACGGGAGGCAGCAGUAGGGAAUCUUCCGCAAUGGGCGAAAGCCUGACGGAGCAACGCCGCGUGAAUGAUGAAGGUCUUCGGAUCGUAAAACUCUGUUAUUAGGGAAGAACAAAUGUGUAAGUAACUAUGCACGUCUUGACGGUACCUAAUCAGAAAGCCACGGCUAACUACGUG
This 497-nucleotide ribosomal RNA is filed under the name uncultured bacterium. Its description in RNAcentral is "partial 16S ribosomal RNA". It matches the Rfam family "Bacterial small subunit ribosomal RNA", at positions 28 to 507 of the family's 1533-position model. The record is from RNAcentral.